RNAcentral lists this ribosomal RNA (519 nucleotides) under Nangura spinosa. RNAcentral's name for it is "Concinnia spinosa partial 16S ribosomal RNA". It matches the Rfam family "Bacterial large subunit ribosomal RNA", at positions 1811 to 2599 of the family's 2925-position model. Lineage: Eukaryota; Metazoa; Chordata; Lepidosauria; Squamata; Scincidae. The record is from RNAcentral.
AAACAUAGCCUUUAGCCCCCCUAGUAUUAAAGGUCCUGCCUGCCCAGUGAAACUUUUAAACGGCCGCGGUAUUCUAACCGUGCAAAGGUAGCGUAAUCAUUUGUCUUCUAAAUAAAGACCAGUAUGAACGGCUAAAUGAGGACAAACCUGUCUCCUGCAACCUAUCAGUGAAACUGAUCUCCCAGUCCAAAAGCUGGGAUACAAACAUAAGACGAGAAGACCCUGUGGAGCUUAAAAUUUACCACUACAAACAAACUAGUACAAGAUUUUAAGUUGGGGCGACUUCGGAACAAAACAAAACUUCCGAGCACAGAACAACCAAUUCUAACCAAGGCCAACGGGCCAAAAAAUUGACCCAGUCAUACUGACCAACGAACCAAGUUACCCCAGGGAUAACAGCGCUAUCUUCUUCAAGAGUCCAUAUCGACAAGAAGGUUUACGACCUCGAUGUUGGAUCAGGGCACCCCAAUGGUGCAGCCGCUAUUAAAGGUUCGUUUGUUCAACGAUUAACAGCCCUAC